RNAcentral lists this ribosomal RNA (564 nucleotides) under uncultured bacterium. RNAcentral's name for it is "bacterial SSU rRNA". It matches the Rfam family "Bacterial small subunit ribosomal RNA", at positions 338 to 916 of the family's 1533-position model. The record is from RNAcentral.
CCUACGGGAGGCAGCAGUGGGGAAUCUUGCGCAAUGGGCGAAAGCCUGACGCAGCAACGCCGCGUGCGGGAUGAAGGCCUUCGGGCUGUAAACCGCUUUCAGCAGGAACGAAAAUGACGGUACCUGCAGAAGAAGGAGCGGCCAACUACGUGCCAGCAGCCGCGGUGACACGUAGGCUCCAAGCGUUGUCCGGAUUUAUUGGGCGUAAAGAGCUCGUAGGCGGUUGAGUAAGUCGGGUGUGAAAACUCUGGGCUUAACCCGGAGACGCCAUCCGAUACUGCUCUGACUAGAGUUCAGGGGGGGAGUGGGGAAUUCCUAGUGUAGCGGUGAAAUGCGCAGAUAUUAGGAGGAACACCGGUGGCGAAGGCGCCACUCUGGACUGAAACUGACGCUGAGGAGCGAAAGCAUGGGUAGCAAACAGGAUUAGAUACCCUGGUAGUCCAUGCCGUAAACGGUGGGCACUAGGUGUGGGUUCCAACUAACGGGAUCCGCGCCGUCGCUAACGCAUUAAGUGCCCCGCCUGGGGAGUACGGUCGCAAGACUAAAACUCAAAGGAAUUGACGG